UGUAUUUAUUAGAUUAAAAACCAAUGCCCUUCGGGGCUCUCUGGUGAUUCAUAAUAACUUCUCGAAUCGCACGGCCUUGCGCCGGCGAUGGUUCAUUCAAAUUUCUGCCCUAUCAACUUUCGACGGCUGGGUCUUGGCCAGCCAUGGUGACAACGGGUAACGGAGGGUUAGGGCUCGACCCCGGAGAAGGAGCCUGAGAAACGGCUACUACAUCCAAGGAAGGCAGCAGGCGCGCAAAUUACCCAAUCCCGACACGGGGAGGUAGUGACAAUAAAUACUGAUACAGGGCUCUUUCGGGUCUUGUAAUUGGAAUGAGUACAAUUUAAAUCCCUUAACGAGGAACAAUUGGAGGGCAAGUCUGGUGCCAGCAGCCGCGGUAAUUCCAGCUCCAAUAGCGUAUAUUAAAGUUGUUGAGGUUAAAAAGCUCGUAGUUGAACCUUGGGCCUAGCCGGCCGGUCCGCCUCACCGCGUGCACUGGCUCGGCUGGGUCUUUCCUUCUGGAGAACCGCAUGCCCUUCACUGGGUGUGCCGGGGAACCAGG
RNAcentral lists this ribosomal RNA (541 nucleotides) under uncultured eukaryote. RNAcentral's name for it is "SSU rRNA". It matches the Rfam family "Eukaryotic small subunit ribosomal RNA", at positions 202 to 746 of the family's 1831-position model. The record is from RNAcentral.